Molecule: long non-coding RNA, 142 nt
Organism: Sinocyclocheilus grahami
Lineage: Eukaryota; Metazoa; Chordata; Actinopteri; Cypriniformes; Cyprinidae
Exons: 3
Source: RefSeq, a predicted model, not a curated record
GUGCUUCAGGAGUGUGCUUGAUCUGCUUCUGUCUGUGGAGCUGUUUAGAAUGCGCAGAGCUCUUCUGAGGGUACACAAAGGGGUGGGGCUUGCAUGCUGCAGCGGCCAUGCUGGUUUUCGAAUGUCAACAAACAAAGUGACA